Brassica rapa (field mustard) is the source of this 2138-nucleotide long non-coding RNA. RefSeq lists it as uncharacterized. The record is from RefSeq and is a predicted model, not a curated record. NCBI's taxonomy places the organism in Eukaryota, Viridiplantae, Streptophyta, Magnoliopsida, Brassicales, Brassicaceae.
AAAAUUCAAAAUACAACAUAUAAAAAAAUCUAAAAUUUUAAUAUAUGAUUAAUAUAAUUGUGUAAUUUAUUUUAAUAGUAAAUAAUUAAACAAAAAUAAUAGAAAGCAUACAAAUUAUUAGCAAAUCUUCAUUAUUUAAAAUCAUUAAUUACUAUAUAUAUCAUAAUCACAUUAGGUAAUUUCGUAGGUUUUAUUUAAGGAAAUAAUAUAUAAUAAAUAGCCACCUUGCUUUAGUUAAUAUCAUAUGAUAUCAUAUAGUUGGUAUUAAAUGUUUCUAGUGAGAUAUAAAAAUCGAAUUGGACCAACAUAUUUUUCAAUUUCAAUGUGAGGCUGACACGUAAGACUAAUUAACUACCUAAUUGAUUGACACAUAAGCAAAUGGUCUUUUUUAAGUAUUACAAAAUUGAAGUUAUAUCUUUUCAAAUGUUCCUCAAUUAAUAUAUGGGGAUUUAGAAAAAAAGGUAUUAAUGUGAAGAAACGGUGCUUAAAGAGGGGGUAGAAGAACCGGGUUUUGUGGAACACGUGUUCGCUCUUGGUUACACCUCUCUCUCUCUCUCUAAAAAAGCACUUGGCGUCUCUCUCUCCUUCUCGUGUAUGAAACUGCGUCUCUUCACCUCUCCUCGUCGAAUACGCCGGUGAUUAUUGAUUUCUCACUGAUCGGAUGAAGCCGUCGGCCUUUGUCUCUGUGGAAACCUCGUAUCUGUUGGUGGACUCGUCGAUUGUGUCCUAUUUGAUCUACGAUGACGCGUCUCUCUAGCUCUCCUCCACCACUCCGCCUCUCUUUCGUAAUCUCUCCUUGGGGAAGAAUCACGGCGUCUCUUUUGGUGGCUCGACGGCGCUCCUCGACGGUGGAAAACCUCUAUUUCUCUCUCGACGGCUGAACUCGACGAAGCGAAAGAUCAAGAGGAUAUCAAUGUUCGUCUGACGGAUCAAGAGACAGGAAGGUUCGUCUAAGAUGGUUCGGAUCAAGAUUGUUCGGAGGAAGAGACAUCAACAUUCGACUACAAUGGCAAUAAAGGUAACACGCAUAUCUUUGUCUCUGAACUGAAUUGAUUUCGUCUGUGUGUCUGAAUUGAAUUGGAAUGGUUGUGCUUUUGGUUUGACUUGAACGAAAUUGAUUGUGCUUUUGGUUUGUGUGUCUGAACUGGAUUGAUUAUCGUUUUGGUUUGAAUUGAACCGCGUUGAUGGUGCUUUUGAUUUGUGUAUCUGAACUGAAUUGAUUGUGCUUUGUGUUUGAAUUGAACAGUGUCUCAUGUGCUUUUGGUUUGUGUGUCUGAACUGAAUUGAUUGUGAUUUUGGUUUGAAUUGAAACGUUGGUAAUUAAUGUUGUGGUUAGAGAUAGAGUUAACUCUGUUUUUGGUAUUAAAGAGAUGUAAGAGGUUAGAUAGAAAUCAAAGUUGAUGUGUGAUUAAUGUGUUAGAAAACUGUCUUCUCGAAAUGGUUGGGGUGUUGAUCAAUGGUGAUCAAUGCUUCUUUCCUUCUUCUCUUCUAUAAAAAAAAUAUCCUUGUUCUCUUCCAUCUAUCAAACAUAUUUAUUUUCUUUCUCUCUUUUCUUUCUCUCUUGAGCCAUUCGGAUAAGGAUUCAAAUUCAUAUACACCGUUAGCAAACUUUGUUGACAUUCUGAAUAGUCAGCAAGACACUGUCUUUGGUUAUGUCCAAGACAAUGUCGAAGUUUCUUCCUCCCAAGUCCCUCUCUUUAGCAGUCAAGCAACAGAAGAAGAGACUCCUGCAGAGCGUAAGGAAAGGAGGGCAUGGACGCCAAUAGAUGAUGUUGCCCUCAUUAGCGCUUGGUUAAACACAAGCAAAGACCCGAUUGUAGCUAACGAGCAAAGAGCUGGUGCGUUCUGGAAAAGGAUUGCUGCAUACUUUGCAGCAAGUCCCAAGGUUGCAGGUUCUAAAGUGAGAGAGUCAUCUCAUUGUAAGCAAAUGUGGCAGAAGAUAAACGACCAAGUCAACAAAUUUUGUGGGACAAGCUUUGUCAAGUUGUAGUGUUGUGUCAAGUAGUGUGUAGUGUGAUGUGUCAAGUAGUAUGUAUUGUAUCAAGUAGUGUGUUCUGUAUUUUGUCAAUUUGUAUGUAUUGUGUCAACUGUCAAGUAAUGUGUUAUGUAUUAUAUAAAAAAACUUCUCAUACUUCUCA